CCUACGGGAGGCAGCAGUGGGGAAUAUUGCACAAUGGGCGCAAGCCUGAUGCAGCCAUGCCGCGUGUGUGAAGAAGGCCUUCGGGUUGUAAAGCACUUUCAGCGAGGAGGAAGGUGGUGAGCUUAAUACGCUCAUCAAUUGACGUUACUCGCAGAAGAAGCACCGGCUAACUCCGUGCCAGCAGCCGCGGUAAUACGGAGGGUGCAAGCGUUAAUCGGAAUUACUGGGCGUAAAGCGCACGCAGGCGGUUUGUUAAGUCAGAUGUGAAAUCCCCGGGCUCAACCUGGGAACUGCAUUUGAAACUGGCAAGCUAGAGUCUUGUAGAGGGGGGUAGAAUUCCAUGUGUAGCGGUGAAAUGCGUAGAGAUGUGAAGGAAUACCGGUGGCGAAGGCGGCCCCCUGGACAAAGACUGACGCUCAUGUGCGAAAGCGUGGGGAGCAAACAGGAUUAGAUACCCUAGUAGUC
RNAcentral lists this ribosomal RNA (465 nucleotides) under uncultured Serratia sp. Its description in RNAcentral is "bacterial SSU rRNA". It matches the Rfam family "Bacterial small subunit ribosomal RNA", at positions 338 to 795 of the family's 1533-position model. The record is from RNAcentral. Lineage: Bacteria; Pseudomonadati; Pseudomonadota; Gammaproteobacteria; Enterobacterales; Yersiniaceae.